GGGACUCUCAAGAAUCUCCUCCAGCACCAUAAUUCAAAAGCAUCAAUUCUUCGGCGAUCAGCCUUCUUUAUGGUCCAGCUCUCACUUCCAUACAUCACUACUGGGAAAACCAUAGCUUUUACUAUACGGACCUUUGUUGGCAAGGUGAUGUCUCACAUAGAGAUUUCUCAGGAGACAGAUGAGGUGAUCAGGCACUCCCAUUUCUUUAAGAACUUGCCAUAGUUUGCUGUGGUCGACACAGUCAAAGGCUUUUGCAUAGUCAAUGAGGCAGAAGGAGAUGUCUUUCUGGAACUCUCUAACUUUCUCCAUAAUACAGCGUAUGUUUGCAAUUUGGUCUCUGGUUCCUCUUUCUCUUCUAAAUCCAGCUUGCACUUCUGGGAGUUCUCGGUCCACAUACUGCUUGAGCCUUCCUUGUAGAAUUUUAAGCAUAACCUUGCUAGGGUGUGAAAUGAGUGCAAUUGUGCGGUAGUUGACGCAUUCUUUGGCACUGCCCUUCUUUGGGAUUGGGAUGUAGACUGAUCUUCUCCAAUCCUCUGGCCACUGCUGAGUUUUCCAAAUUUGCUGGCAUAUUGAGUGUAGCACCUUAACAGCAUCAUCUUUUAAAAUUUUAAAUAGUUCAGCUGGAAUACCAUCACUUCCACUGGCCUUGUUAUUAGCAGUGCUUUUCUAAGGCCCAUUUGACUUCACUCUCAAGGAUGUCUGCCUCAAGGUCAGCAACCACACUACCUGGGGUGUAUGAGCCAUCCAUAUCUUUCUGGUAUAAUUCCUCUGUGUAUUCUUGCCACCUCUUCUUGAUGUCUUCUGCUUCUGUUAGGUCCUUACCACUUUUGUCCUUUAUUAUGGUAAUCUUUGUACGAAAUGUUCCUUUCAUAUCUCCAAUUUUCUUGAACAGAUCUCUGGUUCUUCCCAUUCUGUUGUUUUCCUCUAUUUCUUUGCAUUGCUCGUUUAAGAAGGCCUUCUUGUCUCUCCUUGCUAUUUUCGGAAAUCUGCAUUCAAUUUCCUAUAUCUUUCACUAUCUCCCUAGCAUUUUGCUUGCCUUCUCUCCCCCGCUAUUUGUAAGACCUCGUUGGACAGCCACUUUGCUUUCUUGCAUUUCCUUUUCAUUGGGAUGGUUUUCGUUGCUGCCUCCUGUAUAAUGUUACAAGCCUCCAUCCAUAGUUCUUCAGGCACCAAAUCUAAAUCCUUAAACCUGUUCCUCACUUCCACUGUGUAUUCAUAAGGGAUUUGAUUUAGAUUAUAUCUUACCGGCCCAGUGGUUUUUCCUACUUUCUUCAGUUUAAGCUUGAAUUUUGCUAUAAGAAGCUGAUGAUCUGAGCCACAGUCAGCUCCAGGUCUUGUUUUUGCUGACUUCUCCAUCUUUGGCUGCAGAGAAUAUAAUCAAUCUGAUUUCGAUGCUGCCCAUCUCGUGAUGUCCAUGUGUAGAGUCGUCUCUUGUCUUGUUGGAAAAGCGUGUUUGUGAUGACCAGCUUGUUCUCUUGACAGAACUCUAUUAGCCUUUGCCCUGCUUCGUUUUGAUCUCCAAGGCCAAACUUGCCAGUUGUUCCUUUUAUCUCUUGAUUCCCUACUUUAGCAUUCCAAUCCCCUAUAAUGAGAAGAAUAUCCUUCUUUGGUGUCACUUCUAUAAGGUGCUGUAAGUCUUCAUAGAAUUGCUCAAUUUCAGUUUCUUCAGCACCAGUAGUUGGUGCAUAAACUUGGAUUACUGUGAUGUUAAAAGGUCUGCCUUGGAUUCGUAUUGAGAUCAUUCUAUCAUUUUUGAGAUUGCAUCCCAGUACAGCUCUCGCCACUCUUUUGUUAACUAUGAAGGCCACUCCAUUUCUUUUAUGGGAUUCUUGCCCACAGUAGUAGAUAUGAUGGUCAUCCGAACUGAAUUCGCCCAUUCCCGUCCAUUUUAGUUCACUGAUGCCAGGAUGUCAAUAUUUAUUCUUGCCAUCUCAUUUUUGACCACAUCCAACUUACCCAGGUUCAUGGUUCUUACAUUCCAGGUUCCUAUGCAAUAUUUUUCUUUACAGCAUUGGACUUUCCUUUUGCUUCCAGGCAUAUCCGCAACUGAGCGUCCUUUCGGCUUUGGCCCAGCCACUUCAUCAGCUCUGAAUCUACUUGUACUUGUCCUCCGCUCUUCCUCAGUAGCAUGUUGGAUGCCUUCCGACCCGAGGGGCUCAUCUUCCAGAGUCAUAACUUUUAUAUGCCUGUUGCCUUUGUCCAUGGAGUUUUCUUGGCAGGGAUAUUGGAGUGGCUUGCCGGUUCCUCCUCCAGGUGGAUCACGUUUGGUCAAAACUCUCCACUAUGACCUGUUCAUCUUGGGUGCCCUGCUCGGCAUAGUUCAUAGCUUCUCUGAGUUAUUCAAGCCUCUUCGCCACGGCAAGGCAGUGAUCCAUGAAGGGGUCCCACAUGCUUGCGCACACACUAUUUCCGGUGCACAUCCAGGUCAGCGGAGCACCCAUGUGCACACACUAUUUCUGUGUGUAUAGGCGCCAUCAACCCGGAAGUCAGUCCCCGCUCUGCGCUGUGCCAGUAAGAGCGGGUGGCGGGGGCAGCAGGGGUCGCCAUGGGCCAGUUAGACAAGCCUCAUGGGCCACUACUGACCCAUGGCCCUUAGGUUGCCGACCUCUGUAUUAGAGGCUUAAUUGCUUAUUAUUUGCCUAGUUUGAGCUGCAUUUGAACUGCAUCCCUUCCGUUUUAUUUUUUUUACUUUUAUUAUUUAAUAUGCACGUACAACCAAACAUAUACUCACUUACUUUAGAAAACUUGAAUACAAAUACAAAUAAUACAAAAACACUACACUUAUGUGACUUCCCUCCACCAGUGUACAUCAUUUCUUAUUCCUUAAUAUUCUUAUUUACAUUGCAAUCUUUAUCUCUCAUCCUUAAUAUUGUUAUUUUACUAAUAUUUUAUUUUCUGAGUCAGCUUUACACAUUUAGUCUAAACAUAUCAGCAUGUUGUUUGUAGAACAGUGUUUACUCAUGUAUUCUUCAAACCAUUUCCACUGUGACCUUCAGUGAAUUCAAAAGGUUUAUUUAGCCAAUCUUCCUUUGUGGGUAUCUAGUUUCUUUUCCAGUUUUUGGCAAGUAGGAGCCUGGCUGUGGCGGCUGUGUAUAGAAAUAUUGCUUUCCUCUCCUGUGGUAUGUCCUUUCCAAUUAUGCUCAAAAGAAAUGCUUCAGGUUUUUUUUCUAGAGGAAUUUUGAGCAUCUUUUUUCAUUCCUCAUGCACACAACUCCAAAAAAUUUUGACUUUUCCGCAGCCCCACCAUAAAUGCAUCAUGGUUUCCUCUACCUCCUUGCAUUUCCAACAAAGGUUGGAUCUAGACUUGUAUAUUUUGGCAAGUUUUGAAGUUGUUAUGUGCCUCCUGUAAAACAUUUUCAUAAUGUUUUCUUUUAUGGAGUAACAGGCGGUAAACCUUAUAUCAAUCUUUAGAAGCCUAUCCCACUGUUCUAAAUGUAUUGCAUGACCAAUGUCCUGGGCCCAUUUGAUCUGUACUUCUUUUACUUCAUCUUUUAAGUUCCAUUCCAAUAUGAAAUCAUAUACUUUUGAUAAUAAUUUUUUAUUGUUUCUGUUAUGUACUGAAGUUCUCACCCUGGGCCAGCAGGGGGAUACAGUAGGUAGUUUUCACUCAGGUCCACAUAUGCAAAUAAGGGAUUGAAAGUGACGUUCAGUGAUUGGAUAGUUACGGAAAGUUGUUACAGUUGCGUUGUAGAGGAGCUCUAUAUAGGCAGGCUGGCUGAACCCUUCAGUUCAGUUCUGUUCUGACCUGUGAAUAAACAAGAGCUGUUUAAAGAAUCGCUGUGUCGUCUGAUAUGUUCACCCACAAUGUAACAGUUUCUUAAUAGAACUUUUUGUAAUUUUGAUUCUUCCUUUUCAAAGCCUAAUUUUUUAUCCAAAUUAAAAACGUUGUUUAAGUGGUGAUAUUGGAGCCAGUCUGUGAGGUGGUGCCUUAUUAUCUUCAAAUGAUUUCAACUUUAUCUGGUCUUGUUCUUCCUUUAAUAGUUGCCUAUACGUUUCCCAAUUCCCUGUCAUGUUUCAUUUUUUAACCGCAAAUGCCUCCAAUAAUAUGGUUGUUGCUUCCUGAUAAUAUGGUUGUUAAAUCCUUUGUGGACUUUUAUUAUUUUAUGUGCCACCCAUAUCUCUUGUUGAAGCUCUCUAGAUCUAAUAUAUCUAAUUUUUCCAAUAGAAUCCAAUAUUUUAUCCAGAUUAAACACUCAGCUUUAUAAUAAAUUUUGAAAUUUGGCAACA
This 4227-nucleotide long non-coding RNA is filed under the name Podarcis lilfordi (Lilford's wall lizard). The record is from RNAcentral. Lineage: Eukaryota; Metazoa; Chordata; Lepidosauria; Squamata; Lacertidae.